Long non-coding RNA from Chelonia mydas (Green sea turtle), 278 nucleotides. RefSeq lists it as uncharacterized. The transcript is spliced from 3 exons. The record is from RefSeq and is a predicted model, not a curated record. Lineage: Eukaryota; Metazoa; Chordata; Testudines; Cheloniidae.
GAUAUUCCAGAGUAUGUUGAAUAGAGGACUGCAUUGCCAAGAUCCCAGACCGAUGAGACCAGAUGGAAAAAUGCAUCCAUUUUGACACGGCUCAUGCACACCAAGACUGGAAUGGACAUGUACAACGUAUCUUCAAGAACAACAGUUACCAAAGGCCUUAAAACUGAACAGGGCGCUAAGGACUCCACACCCAAAAUGUAACAGCUGCCUCUAUGCUACCUGCUCCCAGUUCUCCUGGCAUAGCGUACAUGUCGAAGAUGGACUCAGAAUAUGUACAG